UAAGCUCGAAAUCGAGUUUUCAAGGCGCGUGUGAUAAAGAAGUUUAUAAUAGAAAACAAUAUCGUUAAAAUUCAGUCAUCUGUCAUCCUCCGAAAAUUUCCCUGGUAAAAAAUAAACGCGAUACUUUAAUUUUGCUCGUAGACUAAUAUAGAAGCAAAAAAAUUAUGGAAAGUUCCACUUACAACAUGGGGCUACUUGACAGUAAAAUAGCUACACGAUAAAAGAAAGAAAAUGGUGGAUAUUGUAAAUCUGAAACUAUGAUGGUAUCAGCACCAUACGAGUAAACACGUGACGUCGUAGCAUUCUACAGCCUGGCGUCACCCAUAAAGAUUACGGCAUCUGACCGGACUAACCUAAAGUGCUAACCAUCGACAUGAAAUAAAACGUUGAGUGCUGCACUCAAACGACGCGGGGAACUCGACUUCAAAAAAUCGAAGGCUCACCUACGAUCAUCAAAUUGUGACCAGGUGACGGAUUUUUCGUUACCGCUGUAAUGUUUGUCUUCUACUGAACGACAGACAUAAAAAACAAAUUUCUUUUCUUGCACGAAAUUGAACAGUGAUUAUUUUUAUCAAUUUCAAGUUUAACCAGUUGUAAACAUAACAUGGAAUACCAACCUUAGAUAUGUGAGCAAAAUGAUUCGUACAUCCAUUCAAUCAUUCGACACUUAUUCAAGAUUUUUUUAGAGGGAGUCACAAUACCUUGGGCCCUGAUUUGCGAUUCGUUGAACAAAUGAUAUUUCGAGGUGGAAAUAACAAGGUGCUCAGGAUUAUUUUCCCAUUCAAUUCUUAGAAAUCUUCCUCCUGGAUUGAUGAAGAGAUUAAAAUCCAAGCGAGCUCUGGAGUGUCAACGAGUUUCUUGAACAAUUUUUCAUCACUAAUGCAAAUGCUCCACCUUCUUCUUAUUAAUGAACGCGUGCAUCAAGCUUCAAAAGGAUACCACGGAUUUAUGCAAGAUGUGUACACUUUACAAGUGAUCAAGGAAACACGCUCAUCAAUCAGCUAACGACAGACCACGUGGUACUCACAUGGUAUGAGAGUCCAUCACAGGCAGCUACAGCGAUUAACGGCUAGCAGGUAGAAUUGCACGCAAACUGGAAAGCGCCAGAUGGUUCAACAACUUGUUACAGAAUCAGUUACUCGUACAUUCCACUUCUCCUAUCGUUCAACAAUUUGACUGCACAUAAGUCACUAUUGAAAAUACAUCUGUAAUACGUAUGACAGAUGACGUCAAAGGUAAUGGCUCACUCGCAAGGAAAGUCAAGGAUCACUUACGUGAUCUCCUCCGAUUACUUCUAAUUUUUAUACCUUAUGAAUCAUCGAAAAUCAAACGA
Molecule: long non-coding RNA, 1333 nt
Organism: Neodiprion virginianus
Lineage: Eukaryota; Metazoa; Arthropoda; Insecta; Hymenoptera; Diprionidae
Exons: 3
Source: RefSeq, a predicted model, not a curated record